UACGUAGGGGGCAAGCGUUGUCCGGAAUCAUUGGGCGUAAAGAGCGUGUAGGCGGUCCGGUAAGUCGGCUGUGAAAGUCCAAGGCUCAACCUUGGGAUGCCGGUCGAUACUGCCGGACUAGAGUUCGGAAGAGGCGAGUGGAAUUCCCGGUGUAGCGGUGAAAUGCGCAGAUAUCGGGAGGAACACCUAUGGCGAAGGCAGCUCGCUGGGACGUUACUGACGCUGAGACGCGAAAGCGCGGGGAGCAAACAGG
Molecule: ribosomal RNA, 253 nt
Filed under: uncultured bacterium
Lineage: Bacteria
Description: partial 16S ribosomal RNA
Rfam family: Bacterial small subunit ribosomal RNA
Source: RNAcentral